Molecule: ribosomal RNA, 607 nt
Filed under: uncultured marine eukaryote
Lineage: Eukaryota
Description: SSU rRNA
Rfam family: Eukaryotic small subunit ribosomal RNA
Source: RNAcentral
UUAAAAAGCUCGUAGUUGGAUUUCUGUCCGAGACGGCCGGUCCGCACUUAGUGCGUGUAUCUGGUUCGGCUAGGGCAUCCUCUUGGGGAUCGUUUCUGUGCUUUAUUGCAUGGGGCGGAAUUCAAGACUUUUACUUUGAGGAAAUUAGAGUGUUCACGGCAAGCAAUCGCUUUGAAUACAUUAGCAUGGAAUAAUAAUAUAGGGCGUAAGUUCUAUUUUGUUGGUUUCUAGGACAUACGCAAUGAUUAAUAGGGACAAUUGGGGGCAUUCGUAUUAACGCGUCAGAGGUGGAAUUCUUAGAUUGCGUUACGACGAACUACUGCGAAAGCAUUUGCCAAGGAUGUUUUCAUUGAUCAAGAACGAAAGUAUGGGGAUCGAAGACGAUUAGAUACCGUCGUAGUCUAUACCAUAAACUAUGCCAAUUAGAGAUUGGAGGUCGUUCGUUUAUGGCACCUUCAGCACCUUAUGAGAAAUCAAAAUUUUUGGGUUCCGGGGGGAGUAUGGUCGCAAAGCUGAAACUUAAAGGAAUUGACGGAAGGGCACCACCAGGAGUGGAGCCUGCGGCUUAAUUUGACUCAACACGGGAAAACUUACCAGGUCCAGACAU